UACAGAGGUCCCAAGCGUUGUUCGGAUUCACUGGGCGUAAAGGGCGUGUAGGCGGCCAUGUAGGUCCGGUGUGAAAACUCGAGGCUUAACCUCGAGAUGUCAUCGGAAACCAUUUGGCUAGAGUCCGGAAGAGGAGAGUGGAAUUCCUGGUGUAGCGGUGAAAUGCGCAGAUAUCAGGAAGAACACCAAUGGCGAAAGCAGCUCUCUGGGACGGUACUGACGCUGAGACGCGAAAGCGUGGGGAGCGAACAGG
This 253-nucleotide ribosomal RNA is filed under the name uncultured bacterium. Its description in RNAcentral is "partial 16S ribosomal RNA". It matches the Rfam family "Bacterial small subunit ribosomal RNA", at positions 524 to 776 of the family's 1533-position model. The record is from RNAcentral.